GACAACACUCUAGAGAUGAACUCUGCUCCAGGCUUGGUGACUGUGGUGCUCUUAAUGCUUGGACAAAUCUAUGGAGACUCGGUGACUCAGAUGGAAGGCCAAAUGACUCUCUCAGAAGGGGCUUCUCUGAAAAUGAACUGUACUUAUUCAACCACAACCUAUGUCGCUCUUUUCUGGUAUGUGCAAUAUCCCAGAGAAGGUCCACAGCUCCUCCUCAGAGCCAUGACAGCCAACGAGAAGGGAAGCAACAAAGGUUUUGAAGCCACAUACAAUACAGAAACAACCUCCUUCCACUUGGAGAAAGCCUCAGUCCUAGAGUCAGACUCAGCUAUGUACUACUGUGCUAUGAGUGACACAGUGACAGGAACUGCAGGGGGAGCUGAGCACAAACUCUGA
This is a non-coding RNA of Equus quagga, 396 nucleotides long. Lineage: Eukaryota; Metazoa; Chordata; Mammalia; Perissodactyla; Equidae. The record is from the annotation of a RefSeq genome assembly.